Molecule: long non-coding RNA, 4974 nt
Filed under: Homo sapiens (human)
Lineage: Eukaryota; Metazoa; Chordata; Mammalia; Primates; Hominidae
Description: non-protein coding lnc-RNF135-1:21
Source: RNAcentral
CCGGAGCCGACCAGUGGUGGCGGCAGCCCCAGGUCCCGGGUCCCUCAGACAAAAAGGCGGGUGGAGGAGGAGUAGCCGAGCCCAGAGUCCUGCUCCGGCGCCGCCGAGCACCGCCCGCCUCAGCCGACCAGCCCCGUCGGCUACUGGGCCUAGCCUAGAGGAGAGGAGGGAAAGGCCGCGGAGGCCGCGAGGAGACGGCUGGGGCGCCAGCGGCCGGCUGCCGCCUAGUUGUGCUGCCCGGACCAAGGAAGGAGAAGUGGGAGGAGCGGGGAGCUCAGCGGCUCAGGACGACGACGCUCGCCACAUCCGGGACCCUCCGGCCGUGGCGGUCGCAGCGCCGGCAGCUCGGGCCUCAGCCCCUGCCUCUGUGGUGACUCCGCCGCGCUUCGACGUCGCCCCUGUCCCCGUCCCGCCCGCCGCCCCCGCCAACCCCGCCGCCGGGGACAUGUCCAACCCCUGAAGCCGGAGGAACGGGCCAGUCAGACUGCGCCCGACAGGUGAUGGGGAGCGGCGGCCGGGCUGGGCAGCCGCCGGGUGGGCGAGCUGGCGCGGGGUACCUGUUGACUUGGGAAGGGCCAGGAUCGCGAUCAAUGGAGGUGAAGUGAAAUCUGCAAGAGUCCUGCUCGUUCAAGGCCUGCAUACAGGAAAGAAGCAGGGGAAAAGCGUUAGAAACAGCUUUUGUUCUACAGCAUUUUAAAAUAUAAUAGGUAUAUUGAAAAGUCUGAUUCAGUUACAAUCAGUGUAUGGAAUCACAAGAAGAUCCAUAAGAAACAAGGUGCUGGAUUUCUCCGUUGUGUUCGUCUUUUUCCAGUGCCAUCAACCACCUCAAAGACACUGGUUAUCAGAGGUUGGAUUUAUGCAAACUUGGGCCAAAGGACAGUUAGAAGACAGUAGCUGAAGAAGCAUCUGUAGGGAAUCCAGAAGGAGCAUUCAUGAAGAUGUUACAAGCCCGGAAGCAGCACAUGAGCACUGAGCUGACUAUUGAGUCGGAGGCGCCCUCAGACAGCAGUGGCAUCAACUUGUCAGGCUUUGGGAGUGAGCAGCUAGACACCAAUGACGAGAGUGAUGUUAGCAGCGCACUAAGUUACAUCUUGCCUUAUCUCUCACUGAGAAAUCUAGGUGAUCAGCUUGAAAUUCAGCUAACCGAGCAGCUACGGUCCCUCAUCCCCAACGAGGAUGUGAGAAAGUUCAUGUCUCAUGUUAUCUGGACCUUGAAAAUGGAAUGUUCAGAAACACAUGUGCAAGGGAGCUGUGCCAAGCUCAUGUCGCGAACAGGCCUCCUGAUGAAGCUUCUCAGCGAGCAGCAGGAAGCAAAGGCAUUGAAUGUAGAAUGGGAUACGGACCAACAAAAAACAAAUUAUAUUAAUGAGAACAUGGAACAGAAUGAACAGAAAGAGCAGAAGUCAAGUGAGCUCAUGAAAGAAGUUCCAGGAUAUGACUAUAAGAACAAACUCAUCUUCGCAAUAUCUGUGACUGUCAUACUAAUAAUUUUGAUUAUAAUUUUUUGUUUUAUAGAGGUAAAGACAAUAAUUAAUUCAGGUUUUCAAAAUACAAUCCUGUGUUUGUGUGGAUUCAGAAUCCACAAACUGAAAACCAACGUCACUUUCCCACUUGACAUUCUUCUUCUGUCAUUUAAGGCUGAGGUGUGCUUUGUUCUUUUACUGCAAUGUAUAUUCCAGGAUUGUUAAAGGAUCCUCGCUUCCAGGAGGUCUCUGUGAAAUAAAACCAAGUUAAUCCCACUAGACUAUUUUAAGAAGUUAAGUUGAUAUAAUAGCAAAAUUUCUCCCACCCAAAACUAUGUCAACAAUUGGAUGUACUCACUGAGUCACCCCUUACUCUGCCACUAAUUUAUUUCCUUGUUGCUUAAAUGAUGAGAGACAUAUAAUCUCCACCCUCACGGAGUUGUCAUCACCCUGGAGAGGAAGAAGACAGCCAAAAGAGAGAAGUAUUGUCUUGUAGACUUACUAGAUUCACAUAGUAUCAUCCUUCUCCAGUGUGUAAGGUGUUGUCUAAAUAGGUCCAGUUAAAGAACUACAGGGUAGCCAUUUUUAAAAAAAAAUUUUGGCCACGUUUUCAAAUUCACAGGGGAGGGGGAAUGUCUCAUACUCCAGCCCUCCUGAGCCUAGGCCCUCUGUGAGAUGUGUCACCAUUUCUUGGACACCAUAUGAGACAUUCCCCCUCGGAUUAGAGAUGCUCAACCUGCAUCAACAAAUCUAAAGCCUGCAUCUGGCUACCCUGGGGCGAGUCCUGUUUACAGUGCCUAUUCCUGGAGCUCGCCUCUUUUUGCCUUUUGUUUGAUUAUGUGAUGUAUUACUUUUCCCAGCAGGCCAGUGCUAGCAUACUGGAAGAGGGAUUUAAUAAGCUGGCACCCUUGAUGCUAUGCUCCUAAUCCAACCUUAUUUGCCUCAUUGGCCAUUUCCAUUAUGGUGGCAGCCCUCCAUUCCAGCCACAGCAGCCCCUCAGCGUCCCCCAGUCACACUGUCCCCAUUGCUGCUCAUCUGUGCCUUUGUCCAUCUACAAUGCCCUUAUUUCACUCUGCCUGUGGGAGUCCUGUGAAUCUCUCCAAAGCCAACUCAGUUCAUCUUUCUGCUUGAAACCUUCCCUGAAUAGGCCAGGUGCGGUGGCUCACGCCUGUAAUCCCAGCACUUUGGGAGGCCAAGGCAGGCGGAUCACAAGGUCAGGAGAUCGAGACCAUCCUGGCUAACACAGACCAUUCUCUACUAAAAAUGCAAAAAAUUAGCUGGGUGUGGUGGCGGGCGUGUGUCGUCCCAGCUACUUGUGAGGCUGAAGCAGGAAAAUGGCAUGAACCUGGGAGGUGGAGCAUGCAGCCAGCCAAGAUCGGGCCGCUGCACUCCAGCCUGGGGGACAGAGCGAGACUCUGCCUCAAAAAAAAAAAAAAAAAGAAACUUCCCUGAAUAUUCCAGCCCUCCUGAGCCUAGUCCCUUUGUGAGAUUUGUCCCCAUUUCUUGGACACCAUAUAAGAGACUUCAGAGGCUGAAGUGGGAGGAUUGCUUGAGCCUGGGAGGUCGAGGAUGCAGUGAGCUGUGGUCAUACCACUGCACUCUAGCCUGGGCAACAGAGCGAGACCUUGUCUCAAAAACAGCCACCACCAAAAACUAUCUUGGGAUUUGAAUAGGAUUACCUUAAAUUUGUAGAUUAAUUUGAGAAUUGACAUCUGUACGACAUUCUAGAACAUGGUAUUUCAUGUCAUGUAUUCAUUUCUUGUUAAUGUCUUUCAGAAGAGUUUUAGGGUUUCCAUCAUAUAGAUCUUACACGUCUUUUGUUAGAUAACAGAUCUUUGUAUUUUUGUUCCUAAAUACUUCAGACAUUUGUAUUGCCAUUGUAAAUGGGAUCUUUCUUCCAUUUUCUAGUUAGUUAUUGGUGGUACAUCUGAAAAGCAUUUGAGGUUUGUGUGCUGCUCUCUUGAUUUUGUUUCUAGCCACCGUACUGAAUUCUCAUAUUACUUCCAGUAAAAUCUUAGUUGAUUCUCUUAGGCUUCUUUGGCUAACAUUUAUUAUUUUAUAUGCAAAUAAUUAUAGUUUUGUCUCUUCCUUUUCAAUACUUACACUCUUUCCUUCCUUUCCUUUCUUUUUUUUUUCUUUCUCAGGGCCUUGUUGUCACCCAGACUGGAGAGCAAUGGUGUGAUCUAGCUCACUGUAACCUCAAACUCCUGGGCUUAAGGGAUCCUCCUGCCUCAGCUUCCUGAGUGGCUGGGACUACAGGCAGGCAGUGAAUUUUAAAACUUUUGGUGUAGAGACAAGAUCUUGCUAUGUUGCCCAGGCUGGUUUUCCUGCCACUUUAGAGCAGGUUUCCUUUUUUUCAUACUUUUAAGAGGUUUUUAUUAGGAAUUGUCCAUUGAAUGUUAGCUAAAACAGUCAAUAAAAUGCGUUAAGUACCAGCUACAUGCAAGACCCUAAGUUAGAUACAGUCAGCCCUCUUCAUCAGCAGGUCCACAUCUUCAGAUUCAACUAGAUAAGGCUGAAUAUUUGAAGAAAAAAACAAUAAAAAUACAAUUAGAAAGUACAGUAUAACAACUGUUGCCAUGAUACAAUAUCUAUACAUUUUAUUAGUGAUGACCUAAAGUUCAUGGGACCAGGCACGGUGACUCACACUUGUAAUCCCAACACUUUGGGAGGCCAACCUGGGCAGCAUAGUGAGACCUUGUCUUUAAUAAAAAUAAAAAUAAAAAAAUUAGCUAGUGUGGUGGUAUGCACCUGUAGUCCCAGCUACUCAAGAGGCUGAGGUGGGCAGAUCACUGGAGCCCAGGAGGUUGCGGCUGCUGUGAGCUGUGAUUGUGACACUGCUCUCCAGCCUGAGUGACAGAGGGUGAUCCUGUCUCUAAGUAAGUAAAUAAAUAAAGUAUAUGGGGGGGAUGUGUGUUGGUUAUAUGCAAACACUGCACCAUUAUACGUAAGGGAUUGAGCAUCCACAGAUUCUGGUAUGGUGUGGAGGCGAUAUCCUAGAACCAGUCGUCUGCAAGGUAGCAAGGAUGACUGAACUGUGGAAGAAUCAAAGCACUGUUAAACAGCAUACAAUUCCUGUCUUCAAAAAAGUUAUCUCAUCGGGUAGAUGAGACUUAAAAUGAAUAAAAGGAAUGAAUACACAUUGGAGAUAGUGGUUGUUGUGAUAGAUAACCUUAAUUGUGUUUUCUUCCAAAACGGGUGAAUUCACAUAAAAGGGCAUCAGAAAAAUACAAAGACAACCCAUCAAUAUCAGGAGCCUGAGCAUGAGUUAAAGCAUGUGGAUGGCCUAGAGCCAUGUUUUUAAAAUUGUUAUUAAAUAUUGGUUUUUUACUUAAAUCAAUGAAAACUUUCUUUACUUUGUGGUUGUGUUCCUCAAAAUGAGAAUUUUUAACAAUAAUAAAAAUAAAGCUUAUUAGAUCAUUUUUAAUGGUAAUAAAUUGGUUACUGAAGAUUUGACUAAAGAGAAAACUAGGCCAAUCUAAGUAGAGUCCAAAUGAAGUAGAAAGUCCAU